RNAcentral lists this ribosomal RNA (459 nucleotides) under uncultured bacterium. Its description in RNAcentral is "partial 16S ribosomal RNA". It matches the Rfam family "Bacterial small subunit ribosomal RNA", at positions 338 to 795 of the family's 1533-position model. The record is from RNAcentral.
CCUACGGGGGGCAGCAGUGAGGAAUAUUGGUCAAUGGUCGGGAGACUGAACCAGCCAAGCCGCGUGAGGGAUGAAGGUACAGAGUAUCGUAAACCUCUUUUGUCAGGGAACAAAGGCGGGGACGUGUCCCCGGAUGAGUGUACCUGAAGAAAAAGCAUCGGCUAACUCCGUGCCAGCAGCCGCGGUAAUACGGAGGAUGCGAGCGUUAUCCGGAUUUAUUGGGUUUAAAGGGUGCGCAGGCGGUCUGUUAAGUCAGCGGUCAAAGCCCGGGGCUCAACCCCGGCCCACCGUUGAAACUGGCAGUCUCGAGUUGGAGAGAAGUAUGCGGAAUGCGAGGUGUAGCGGUGAAAUGCAUAGAUAUCGCGCAGAACUCCGAUUGCGAAGGCAGCAUGCCGGCUCCACACUGACGCUGAGGCACGAAAGCGUGGGUAGCGAACAGGAUUAGAUACCCCAGUAGUC